RNAcentral lists this ribosomal RNA (215 nucleotides) under Dominikia sp. RNAcentral describes it as "partial small subunit ribosomal RNA". The stretch from base 37 to 215 matches the Rfam family "Eukaryotic small subunit ribosomal RNA", at positions 684 to 864 of the family's 1831-position model. Lineage: Eukaryota; Fungi; Glomeromycota; Glomeromycetes; Glomerales; Glomeraceae. RNAcentral also lists the same sequence under 1 other name. The record is from RNAcentral.
GGAUCAAUUUAUUGGUCGUGCUAUUGUACGUACUGGUAUUAUUGAUUCCUACCUUCUGACGAACCAUGAUGUCAUUAAUUUGGUGUCUUGGGGAAUCAGGACUGUUACUUUGAAAAAAUUAGAGUGUUUAAAGCAGGCUCACGCUUGAAUACAUUAGCAUGGAAUAACGAAAUAGGACGUUUGAUUCUAUUUUGUUGGUUUCUAGGAUCGACGUA